CUGGAUGUUACAGGAACAGAUGAGACACAUGUUUGUUUAUCCAGUGAAGAGUGACUGAUGAAGCAAUGCUGCCAUCAAAGGCUCUCAAGCUUUUGUGGUGGAGCAGGACCUGCAAGGAAAGGUGACGGCGGCAUUUGUGAA
This is a long non-coding RNA of Sinocyclocheilus anshuiensis, 141 nucleotides long. RefSeq lists it as uncharacterized. Lineage: Eukaryota; Metazoa; Chordata; Actinopteri; Cypriniformes; Cyprinidae. The transcript has 2 exons. The record is from RefSeq and is a predicted model, not a curated record.